AUCACCAGGGGAUCUUAUUAAAAUGCAGAUUUUGAAUGAGUACAUGUAGGGGUGGGGGCUGAGAGUCUGCAUUUCUAAUAAGCUACCAGGUGAUGUUGA
Molecule: microRNA precursor, 99 nt
Filed under: Camelus bactrianus (Bactrian camel)
Lineage: Eukaryota; Metazoa; Chordata; Mammalia; Artiodactyla; Camelidae
Also listed under: 2 other names
Description: mir-544 microRNA precursor family
Rfam family: mir-544 microRNA precursor family
Source: Rfam by way of RNAcentral